GGGAAAGUUCCCUUCGGGGAGCGAGUACAGCGGCGAACGGGUGAGUAACACGUAGGUAACCUACCCUGGGGCCCGGGAUAACCCGUCGAAAGAUGGGCUAAUACCGGAUAAGACCACGAGGGCUUCGGCCCUUGAGGUAAAAGAUGGCCAAUGCUUGCAAGCUAUCACCCCGAGAUGGGCCUGCGCGCCAUUAGCUAGUUGGUGAGGUAACGGCUCACCAAGGCGAAGAUGGCUAGCUGGUCUGAGAGGAUGAUCAGCCACACUGGGACUGAGACACGGCCCACACUCCUACGGGAGGCAGCAGUGGGGAAUAUUGCGCAAUGGGCGAAAGCCUGACGCACCGACGCCGCGUGGGUGAUGAAGGCCUUCGGGUCGUAAAGCCCUGUCGGGAGGGACGAAAUCUUGCCGACCUAAUACGUCGGUGACUUGACGGUACCUCCAAAGGAAGCACCGGCUAACUCCGUGCCAGCAGCCGCGGUAAUACGGAGGGUGCAAGCGUUGUUCGGAAUCACUGGGCGUAAAGCGCGUGUAGGCGGCCUUUUAAGUCCGAUGUGAAAGCCCGGGGCUCACCCCCGGAAGUGCAUUGGAUACUGAAGGGCUCGAGUACCGGAGAGGAGGGUGGAAUUCCUGGUGUAGCGGUGAAAUGCGUAGAUAUCAGGAGGAACACCUGUGGCGAAGGCGGCCCUCUGGACGGAUACUGACGCUGAGACGCGAAAGCGUGGGGAGCAAACAGGAUUAGAUACCCUGGUAGUCCACGCUGUAAACGAUGGGCACUAGGUGUUCGGGGUAUUGACCCCCCGAGUGCCGCAGCUAACGCAUUAAGUGCCCCGCCUGG
RNAcentral lists this ribosomal RNA (835 nucleotides) under uncultured bacterium. Its description in RNAcentral is "bacterial SSU rRNA". It matches the Rfam family "Bacterial small subunit ribosomal RNA", at positions 68 to 876 of the family's 1533-position model. The record is from RNAcentral.